This 368-nucleotide ribosomal RNA is filed under the name uncultured organism. RNAcentral's name for it is "bacterial LSU rRNA". It matches the Rfam family "Bacterial large subunit ribosomal RNA", at positions 2099 to 2465 of the family's 2925-position model. The record is from RNAcentral.
CUUGACUGUAUCCUGGAAUUGGGUUCGGGCUUUUCUUGCGCAGACUAGGUGGGAGGCUACGAAGAUUUCCUUCCGGGGAAGUUGGAGCCAACAGUGAGAGACCACUCUGGAAAGGCUAGAAUCCUAAUGGUGAUCCCUGAAUCGGGACACUUGACAGUUUCAGGUGGGCAGUUUGUUUGGGGCGAACGCCUCAUAAAAGGUAACUGAGGCGCGCAAAGGUCCCCUCAGUCUGGACGGAAAUCAGACAUUGAGUGUAAAGGCAAAAGGGGGCUUGACUGCAAGACCUACAAGUCGAGCAGGAGCGAAAGCUGGCCUUAGUGAUCCGACGGUGCCGUGUGGAAGGGCCGUCGCUCAACGAAUAAAAGUUA